UUCCCGUUACUCGAGUCGCUCGAUAUGUGUAUUGAUUCUGUAACUUUAAAGAGAAUCAUAAGUUUUCAUUGUAUGUAACGCACAGCCAGGUGCCUUCCGCUCGAAUAUCUCCAUGUUCCUCAGUAAUCUUUUCCCCCUGAUUUCCAUUCUAUUCAUAAACUCUAGAUUCCUUUCGAUUCUCCCUUCCAUACCGUUAGGUAUUCUCAAUCCAAUCGCAAUCGAAAUCAGCAUCAUUUCCAAUCGAACAUAUUCGUAAAUCCACAUCCAAAUGGCAUCGCAGGUCAAAUGAAACCCAUCAAAGGUAGGCUUCCCUGCCACACGGGAUAACUUCAAGUGUGGAUAUGGUUAUCGUUAAUGAGGAGGUAUCUAUGUUGUCAAAGGCGUCGCCAAGGCGCCAAAGUGGCCUUAUUUUGAACUUGGGCGCCACGCAGUGGGUUAGGAGAUGCCACUUUAAAAAGUGGCGCCCAGGCGUCGCCUUUCUAGGCGCUCAGGCCAAGGCGCCAGUUUGUUGGGCGCCAAAAGUGGCAUUUUAUGCCAAAAAGGAAAAAAAAUAUUGCCAAAAUCUUUUUCAUUAAGUCAUACAUUAAUUUUUUAAAACCCUAAGCUAAUUAUGUAAAGAAACAGAUCGUCCUUAGCUGUUUUUGUUAAUUACUUUAACAAUAGUGAAGGAAAAAAAAUCUUUCCAAAUUUUUUGCAAAUCUUUUUCAUUAAGAUUUAUAAGCUAAUAUAGAAAAUCCUAAGCUAAUUAUCAGUUAUGUCAAGAACAUAAACCUAUGUGGAAAUUAUUGUUCUGCGGCGGCUUCCCCGCGCAUUGCUGCGGCUCGGGAUUUUACACCCAACGCCACGCGGCGCCUUACGCCCAUUACAACACAGGGAGGUAUUCAUACAAACUGUUUCCAUUUAGUUUGUUUGACUGUAAGUCAAUUCUGUUCAAGUAUAGUGUUAAAAUACCCUAUGAGGUGCUCAAAUUUACUGUUGAUCUAAACAAUUGAUUCCACAGGGAGACCAAAUUUCAGCUCUGCUACUACCAAGUCCCAAGACUAACUCAUGAAUCCGAAAAUUGAAGUUAAAUUAAGUUCGUAACUCAUGAAUCCAUAUUUCAGCUCUUCUACUGCCACAAGUACGGGUGAAGAGCUUCAAAUACUCAAAGCAACGGGUUGCCUUGGUGAUGGUUGAAAAAACAGUAAAAAGGUAUGAAAGCAACGAGACAAAUUUGUCAUGCCGCCUUUAACUGUCAAUUCAAAGUAUCGCAAUACAUUUCAAUGGCUAAGUUAAGCCCAUCAAGCGGUCGUGGAGGUGAAGUAGUUUUCCGAGCUAUUUGCAAAUCAGUUCCAACAUGUACAAGCUCAACCAGUCCGUAGACUAGAAAUGUUAGUAGCUGUGUUCAAUAUAACUUAGUUCGGUUGUGAGUCUGGAAUAUUUGUGACUUGGUUCAGAAUUUGUUGAGUUGAUUUAUCCUCCAAAAUUUCAAAUACGGAAUUUAGAUGAAUUAAUCAGAAAACUAUGAUCAAACGAUUAAAAAUUAGUCCCUUUUA
Papaver somniferum (opium poppy) is the source of this 1535-nucleotide RNA transcript. RefSeq lists it as uncharacterized. The transcript has 4 exons. The record is from RefSeq and is a predicted model, not a curated record. NCBI's taxonomy places the organism in Eukaryota, Viridiplantae, Streptophyta, Magnoliopsida, Ranunculales, Papaveraceae.